AAGUUGUUAUCAUUUUUGCAUACAGUAAGUAGCAGUGCUAGUUUUGUGUUGGCACUGAAUUCUGUUGCUCUGAAUUUGUGUAUGAUGGCACAUGCAGCAGUCGGUGAAGGCACAUCAAGGCACAAUGAACAAUGAGGGGAAAUCUGAGGCAGUCAAAGCCUACAUUUCUCAUGAGACUUAUCAGGACAAGUAUGAGUGUGUGCUGAAGGCCAAUGGCAAUCUGGAAAAGCAGGUUCUAUCCUUGGAGGAGAAGUACGCGAACGCAACACGAGCGAAUGGCAAGCUGGAGGAGGAGGUUCUGUUCCUCAAG
Long non-coding RNA from Triticum dicoccoides, 310 nucleotides. RefSeq lists it as uncharacterized. The transcript has 3 exons. The record is from RefSeq and is a predicted model, not a curated record. NCBI's taxonomy places the organism in Eukaryota, Viridiplantae, Streptophyta, Magnoliopsida, Poales, Poaceae.